This is a long non-coding RNA of Pseudoliparis swirei, 654 nucleotides long. RefSeq lists it as uncharacterized. Lineage: Eukaryota; Metazoa; Chordata; Actinopteri; Perciformes; Liparidae. The record is from RefSeq and is a predicted model, not a curated record. The transcript has 3 exons.
UCUACAAACACUACUCCAUCCAGAACUACCCCACCUUCUACAAACACGACUCCAUCUAGAACUACCCCACCUUCUACAGACACUACUCCAUCCAGAACUACCCCAUCUUCUACAAACACUACUCCACCCACAACAACUACUCCAUCCAGAACUAUUACCCCACCUUCUACAAACACUACCCCACCAGCAACUACUCCAUCCUCCACAUUGGUCCUACCGUCCACAACAGUCACUACAUCAACUACAUCUGUUUCCUCUGCACCAUCUACACCAAUAACUACACCUGAAGACACAACCCGGGUACCAGGUGUCUCAACCACGAGUGUAGCUCUGAGGAUGAGACUGUUGUCCUCCACCCCGCUGUCUGAGGACCACAUCAGGACCUCCGUCAUGCAGCAGAUCAGAGAUGAACUGGUGAGACGAGGGCUGUCAGUCACGACUCUACGCCUCAUCAGUGUGUCGUCAGCGUCCACAGCACAGCGCCCCCUGGUGGUUUAAUGUAAACACACAUGAAACCCUGCAGGGUCGGAUUUACUUAUAUAAAAUCUUUGAACAUUAAUUUGUAUUAAGCCUUUAAAAAGAAACACGGCACAGCAAAUAUGUAUUCCAGAUUAGCUCGAAGAUGUGUUCAUUAAAUUAAAAUAUAAAAAUGUG